Molecule: ribosomal RNA, 404 nt
Filed under: uncultured bacterium
Lineage: Bacteria
Description: bacterial SSU rRNA
Rfam family: Bacterial small subunit ribosomal RNA
Source: RNAcentral
AUGGGAGAAAUCCUGAAGCAGCAACGCCGCGUGGAGGAUGAAGGGUCUAUGACUUGUAAACUCCUUUAAAGAAGGAAAAAAUUCCCAUUUGAUGGGAGAUGAUGGUACUUCUGGAGUAAGCCCCGGCUAACUACGUGCCAGCAGCCGCGGGAAUACGUAGGGGGCAAGCGUUGUCCGGAUUUACUGGGGGUAAAGGGUGCUCAGGCGGAUUUGUAAGUCAGAGGUGAAAUCUUACAGCUUAACUGUGAAACUGCCUUUGAUACUGCAAGCCUAGAGUAUGGAAGAGAGUGAUGGAAUAUCUGGUGUAGCAGUGAAAUGCGUAGAUAUCAGAUAGAACACCAAUGGCGAAGGCAGUCACUUGGUCCAUUACUGACGCUAAAGCACGAAAGCGUGGGUAGCAAACA